Long non-coding RNA from Sapajus apella (tufted capuchin), 447 nucleotides. RefSeq lists it as uncharacterized. The transcript has 3 exons. The record is from RefSeq and is a predicted model, not a curated record. Lineage: Eukaryota; Metazoa; Chordata; Mammalia; Primates; Cebidae.
UUCACCAUGUUGGCUAGGCUGGUCUCAAAACUCCCGGCCUCAGGUGAUCUGCCCGCCUCGGCCUCCCAAAGUGCUCGGAUACAGGCAUGAGCCACCAUGCCCGGCCUCUUGUUUGUGGACUUUUAACUUGAGAGGGAAUCGGAGCAUAAAAACCUGAUACUCUGCGAUAAAAAAAAAUUUGUGCUUGCCCUCCUUUUAUCUUUGCUAAGCCCCGAAGCCUACUCAGAAUGUCUUUGUGUGGAGUUUCCCCUUUGGGAACUUUAUUUGGUGAUGUGGCCCUCUAUCUUUUCCUGGUCCCGAGUUUCAGAACUGCCUGGGCCUAACCUAGGAUGCCCACAGCUGCCACUUCUGGAGGAUCUAGUGAUUAUCAGCCCCUGGGUCACUCCUCCCAGAGGACAGCCUAAGGUGUAGGGAUGGGGCUUCUUAGGGGAGCAGGAGGAUUUUAUG